RNAcentral lists this long non-coding RNA (4732 nucleotides) under Limulus polyphemus (Atlantic horseshoe crab). RNAcentral's name for it is "uncharacterized LOC111088836, transcript variant X1". The record is from RNAcentral. Lineage: Eukaryota; Metazoa; Arthropoda; Merostomata; Xiphosura; Limulidae.
AUUAGUACGAAGUCAUGACCACGUGCACAUCCAUAAGCUAUAUAACUACUUAAUAGUUUAUAAGUAGUUAAAGAACGACUUUUUCAAAACAACCACCUAACAGAACUAAUUCAAGAUGUUACACAGAAGACAAGAUUCAACGUUGACAAGCUAGUAACCAAAAUUAAAUGCCGGAAGAAGGCUUGAAGAUUUGCCCUUCUAACAAAAUGAACUAAUUCUGGUGUAUCCGUGUCUCAUCCUUCGACAUAACAUGUUGAUCAGUUAUGUCUUCUACUCAACCUAGCUGAUCUUUGAACUCAAACCUUCUGUACGUUGAACCAGAGCAGGUAAGUAGAAAAUACGAAGCUAAAGAUUCAAGAACGAGUGAUUUCUUUUUUAAGGUAUCUGUACUGAAACUGUAUAGAAUUCAUGGUGUCAGUAUAAUGAGGGUGUUAAAAGUAAAGAUACCAAAAUUGGGAAUGUAUAAGGAGUGAUUAAUGUUCACUUCGGUUUUCGAAAAGGGAAUGAGUGUGAGAUAGCAAACUCUGUUUUUAUUUUGUUAUGGUCUUAUUUAGUAUUUAAUUAUUCCUUCUAUCGUUUAGUUAAUCUGUUAAUUUUAAUUUACGUUUAAACGCUAACUCGCAUUCCAGUUAAUCACACACAUUUUUCAAUUUCUAUAAAUUGUGAGACUGAUGCCAGUUUUCCAUAGCGGUGACGUACAGAUAUUAAUGUUGGUAAAGUGUGUCCACAUGAUUAUCGCAUGAAUUCUGAUCUCUUGGUUAAUUAUCGUAGAUUAGCUGGUGUUAGAACCCAAGAACUUCAAUCAGGCUGAUCUAGAGCCAGAAGCGAAAGAAGAUAAAGCCGAAUAUAGAAGAAAAUGGAAUGACUUCGCCUUGUAAGGUAUCUGUAUUUAAAAUGUUAAGGACUGAUAAUGUCUGUUUAAAUAGGGCAUUAAAAGCAAGGACUCAAAAUUAUGAAGUUUAAAGAGUGAUUAAUGUAAUCCCUUUGUUUUUCUAAAGGGGAAGAAGUGCGAGUUAGCAAGUUCAAUUUUUAUUCAGUUUUGUAUUUGUUUACCGUUCACUCAUUAUUCAUUUUAUCAUUUGGUUAAGUUGUGAAUAUUUAUUUUAAAUUUAAACGCUAACUCGCAAUCUAGUUUUUCACAUAAAUUUUAAAUCUUUGAGACUGAUACCAGUUUUCCAUAGCGGCGACUUGUAGAUGUUUCAAAAGUAUGUAAAUAAUGAUCACCAUUUUUAAAUCUCUUGGUUCAAGUAGAGAAGGCAAAGAUGGAAGAAUAUGAACGAUUUUUCUUACGAAGGUAUCUGUACAUAAACUGUGGAGGAUUCAUGAUGUCGGUAUAAAGUAAGCCGUUAAAAUUAAGGAUACGAAAAUUAUGAAUUUAGGAGUGAUUAAUGUAAUCAUUUCGGUUUUUCGAAAGGAGUGUGAGGUAGCAAGUCCUUUUUAUUUUGUUAUGGUUUUGUUUACAGUUAGCUUAUUAUUCUUUCUAUCUUUUAGUUAAUCUGUCAAUUUUUAGUUUACACUUAAACGCUAACUCACCUCCUAGCUUAUCGCCUCAAUUUUUAGAUUCUACGAGUUAUCAGACUGACACCAGUUUCCCACAUUGGUCGCGUACAGAUAUUAAUGUUGAUAAAGAGCAUAUAAAUAAUAACAUGAAUUAAUCUGUUGUUUUAACUAGUUACUUAUUUAUUGCAGAUUAGCUUGUCUUUCAACUCAAGGACGUCCCGGAGCCGGAAGGUGAAGAAGGAAGAACGUGAACGAAUUUUCUUUGUAAAGUAUAUGUAUUUAAACUAGUAGGAACCUAUAUGUAAACUGUUUGAUAGUUUCUAAGAGAUCGAAGUCGGACGUCUUGGAAACAACUAAGAAAAUACUCAACUGUUGUAGAAAAAACAGAACUAUCUAGAGAUGCUAUACAGAAGGCAAUAUCUGACGUUGAAAAGCAGUUAGAGAAAAUGAAUGCCGACAGAAACCUUGGAUUUUUUUCCCCACCCUACAAGAUAAAGGAUUUGUUCUGGUGUCUCCCCUUCUCAUCCUUUGUAUCUAAUUGAUAACUUCAAUGUCUUCUGCUCGACCUAGUUAGUCUUCGAACUCAAACUUCUUGCAAGAUGAAUCAGAACAGGAAGAUGGAGAAAAUAAAUCCGAAGAUUCAAGAACAUGAACGAUUUUUUCUUGUAAGGUAUCUGUACUGAAACUGAAAAGGAUUCAUGAUGUCAGUAUAAAAAGGGGUCUUAAAAGUAGGAAUACAAAAAUUGGGAAUUUAGAUUGGUUUAUAUAAUAAACGUGGUAUUUGAAAGUGGAAGGAGUGUGAGAUAGCAAAUUCUAUUUUUAUUUCGUUAUGGUUUUGUUUACAAUUACUUUAUUAUUCCUUCUAUCGUUUAGUUGAACUGUACAAUUUUAUUUUACAUUUAAACGCUAACUCACCUUCUAGUUAGUCACAACAAUUUUUAGCUCAAAUAAAUUGAGACUGACACCAGUUUCCCUUAUCGGUGACAUACAGAUAUUAAUGUUGAUGUAGACUAUGUAUAUGGCUUGUAACCUCUUGAGUAGUUAUGAUAGCACUACGAAUAAGGGAGUGUGACGUUUAUACUAAUCGAUAUGAUAAUUAAUGUUUAAUUACAUGAAAACGUAAAUUAAUAAUUAAUGUUUAACGAUUAAUUAAUUAUUGAGAUGUAAGAUUCAAUGUGUCCGACGUAUAGCAGUAAGUGAAAAGUUCAGAGAGGUGUAGUAUACAAAUAUUUGGAAAAUAUAGCUAUAGUGCGAAUCACUACAAAAUAUAUUUUAAAACCAAAAUAAGCUGUAUGUUCACCCUACUUUAAGUUUAACUUACUUAAACAAGAACGGGUUUUAUGUGACUUAAAAGUCGGUAGAAAAACUAAUGUAUUUAUUCUUUAUCUUUAAGGAUACAGGAAACUAAAUGUACAUUAACGAUAUUCUCUUUCUCAACAUUUGUGAGUACAUAACCUAUCUGUUGUUUCUGAUUGACUACUUUCAGUUUUGGAUGUGGAACUGGUACACAAGGUAAGUUUUAAACAUCUAAGUCGUCGAGACCUAUACGGAGUGCAAAUUCUUCACAUGAUCCUUUAAACGCAAAGAAAUAACGGUAUUAUGCAUAAUUUUAAAAAUUGAACUGUUCUCCUAACUUUUCUGACAGGCAAAACCUGCUAGCAGCUCUAUAACCUUUGUUUAGUAAGAACACAAAACAUGAAUACGUUAUACAUUAGUGUUUUGCUAAGGUUAAAUUAACUUUAAUGAAAGUCUGGUUAUACGUAAGUUGGUGUAUAAUUUCUACUUCAUUAAAGCUACGAAUUGAGUAUUUCAAUGCGUACUAACAAAUCUGCAACUAUUGGAUAAGAGAUUACAUAAUUCAAGACAGUCUCGUAAAUUUUCGUUUAGCGGAGAUUAAGUUUUCCUUCUUCCUCUUCCUCACUUCUAUUACAAAAACGCCCUACUAUUAGAGAGAAUACUUUAUAAGCUACGAUAACGCUUGUAUACGUUUUACAUUCCCUUGGCCACGUACCCGGGGACGUGGCUAAGGAGGGGAAAACCGUAGACAAGCUUUAACAUGGUUUGUAAAGUUGUUCUUUCCCAUAGUAGAGCGUCGGCCACCCUGUAUUCUCUUAAGUUUCUUUUUGUUGUAUAUAUCCCCAACCUACGCUAAACGAGAGAUUUCUUGAAUUACGUAAACAUGCGAUCGCAAAUCAAUACGAUUAACGAUUCUUUUAUAAAUCUUUCUUUGCUGAACCUCUGCUACUCAUUUCAAGGAGAAGAAACGUAAUAACAUCUGGACUAUUGCAUAAACUUCCCUUUUCGUCUUUAACACCUAAACAAUUGAUGUAAAAUCGGAAUCCCUUGUCCAAUACUUUUAGUUUUGUUAAUAGUUAUAACAUUCGAUUCGUGGCUUUAAUUGACAAAAAUUAUACAGAAUAUUACAAUAACUGAUACAUACCAGACUUAUAAGAAAGUUAACUUAACACGAAGAAGUUUCACGAUGUAUAGAUCCUGGUGACUUGGAUAGUUGUAGUUUAAAACUUAUUAUAUACAAAAGUUCUACAUCAAAAACAAAGUAACUUGGAAACGUGAUAUAGAUUCUUUAUGUAAUCCCAACUUUAGAAAGAAUAUCAUGAAUGUAUAUUUCAGUUAUUGUAUCGUUAUUUAAAGUGAAAGAAUAAGAUGUAUUCGUUUUUAAUGACUAAGUGACAUAAUCAAUCUUUUCUUCACAAAGUUGAAUUUAAGUAUAGUGAACACUCAUCUUAAUUUGGUUGUCAAGUGUAUUUUAUAUUGAUUGUAAUUAGCUCUAUUUCCCGGAUUCUUUUAGAUUGACUCUGUGUGAACGUUACUUAUUCCUGUAGGUCGAGCACAAUUUGAUUUAGUUAAAUUUUGAAAUUUUAGUUUACAACAUUUAACCGCAAGUUCUUCAACUUAAAUCUUGUGUAUUUUGUGUUUGCAUGAAUUAUGAGACUGACUAGUUACCUCUAGUGAUGACUUCUUAUGUAAUAUAAGAGUACGUAAAUAAUGUCCUGAAUAUAUAAUUUUGUAAAAAUAAAAAAUAUAACCAGUUGUGAGAUUCUAUAAUUUACAUUAUUGUUUACUUCAUGUUUUAAUUAUGCAGUGUGUGUGUGGUUCUUUGUUAAUAUUUCUGGCCAGACACAUUAACUGUUCUCGAAUAAGAAAGUUUCUUGAAUUUUAACAUCUAUGGUUAUUAAAUUUCUUUAUUUCUUUGUUUGUCUAUUUUGGUUUC